UUACAAUUAGUGUGCUUAUUUCAGUUUGUUAUAAUAGAAAAUUCCCUUUAUAAUUUCAAGCAAACGCUAGUGCAUGUUUGAUGCUGAAUGUUUGUAAGAAGCUUGUUUGUUUUAGAUCUUUCAACCUAGGAUUGAAGUAUGCAAAGAGCUGCACCUAUUAUAAGAAACCUGAGUCUGUGAAACAAGUCUGAGAACAUCUUGGAAGAUACCAGCUCUCAGAUGUUGAGUCAUGUUUGAUUGCUAAUGCUCACCCAGAAACAGUUGAAGAAGUGUACUCUUUCGUGCGAUCCUUUAAGACUUGCAGCACCGAAGCUGACCAAAGAUGGAUCAUGACUGAGAUCGCAUUAAGAAGGUUUUUUGGUAUUGAAACUGCACAUUUGUAUAUUUCAUGUAUAGCUUUCAUAUCCUGAACAGUGAAAGGGAUGGUUUCUCUUAGUCUAAACUCUAAACCCAUACCAUCCCAAUGGACGGUCCAGAUCAGGUUUUGUUGUGUGUAAGACUGGGACCAUUUAGAUUUCUCUUAGUCUAAACUCUAAACCCAUACCAUCUCAAUGGACGGUCCAGAUCAGGUUUUGUUGUGUGUAAGACCGGGACCAUUUAGAUCUUAAGCUUUAUCAAAUAGCUGAUGCUGAUGGCAAGCAUUGCCCCAACAGAUGGCUGUUCCUUUAUCCAGAGAUAUGUUGAAUUGCUUGAUGGAUUCUUAUUUUUUUUGUAUUACAUACAUCAUUUGUGAUAUAUGAGAACACAGGUGUUUAUGCCUUAAA
Molecule: non-coding RNA, 764 nt
Organism: Amborella trichopoda
Lineage: Eukaryota; Viridiplantae; Streptophyta; Magnoliopsida; Amborellales; Amborellaceae
Source: RefSeq, a predicted model, not a curated record